RNAcentral lists this ribosomal RNA (253 nucleotides) under uncultured bacterium. Its description in RNAcentral is "partial 16S ribosomal RNA". It matches the Rfam family "Bacterial small subunit ribosomal RNA", at positions 524 to 776 of the family's 1533-position model. The record is from RNAcentral.
UACGUAGGGCGCAAGCGUUGUCCGGAAUUAUUGGGCGUAAGGAGCUCGUAGGCGGUUUGUCGCGUCUGCUGUGAGAACUCGAGGCUCAACCUCGGGCUUGCAGUGGGUACGGGCAGACUAGAGUGCGGUAGGGGUGACUGGAAUUCCUGGUGUAGCGGUGGAAUGCGCAGAUAUCAGGAGGAACACCGAUGGCGAAGGCAGGUCACUGGGCCGCAACUGACGCUGAGGAGCGAAAGCAUGGGGAGCGAACAGG